Molecule: long non-coding RNA, 8595 nt
Filed under: Ananas comosus (pineapple)
Lineage: Eukaryota; Viridiplantae; Streptophyta; Magnoliopsida; Poales; Bromeliaceae
Description: long non-coding RNA (ACOM_LNC038965)
Source: RNAcentral
AAUCAUUCUAAUAAGCACGUGUACUCACAUCAUGCAACAUUACAUUAUUAUCAUCACAUUGUUUUAUAUUAUCUUUAGCCAUUAUCAUUAUUCUUUACAUCACAUUUAUUCUUUGUUGUCCCACACUAACUCUAGUGUCCACUUUACCAUUUCCAAAUGCCAUAUUAUGUGGAUAUUUUGUCAUCCAUUGGUAGUUAUCAUUUAGCAUUUUAUGCAUUCAUUAACAUUUACCACAUGCAUUUUCGGUUAGAAUAAAUCUCAUACUUUCAUUUGACAUCUGUUUAACAUUUCUAUAAUAUGCUCAUGUAAAUUAACAUCAACUCAUGCAUUCAUUUGACAUCUAUCUUUAUCAUGCAUUCUUAAAUAGCAUACUUUAAUCUUUAUCAUGCAUUCUUACAUAGCAUACUUUAAUCUUUAUCAUUCAUUCUUAAAUAGCAUACUUUAUCAUACAUCAAUAGUAAACACACUACACUUUAGCAUGGAAAGCGACCUAAUCGCUUCGGUGAGCACGACCCACCUCAAAACGCUUUCCGAUUGCUUGUCGACACUUGCAAUCGGCCUCCCGCGGCAACCGUAACCCGGUUUGGCCCGAACUCUUGUGCGACCACCCGAACGGCCACCAAUUCGCGAUCCGUCUGUUCGGGAGCCUAUUCCCCGACACCACGAUGCUCCCGAUCCAUUUUUAUGAUUUUUGGAGGCUUAUCCCGCGUGCUGCGGCUAUCUGUACCAAAAUAGAUUGUUUCGUCAAUAACUUUGCGUACACUCGUCGGAUUGUCGAACCGAGCACGCCAACGCGUUCGUUAUACCCCCAAUUAGGUUUAUAGAGGGUCAAUUGAGAUCAAACUCAACUAUUUACAAAAAUCCUCUUUUGGAGCCCUAAUAUGCAACUAUUGCAAAAUCUACCAUUUCAUCUCAUGAUCCAAGCAUUUAUCAUCUAUUUGACAUGCUAGGAGUACACAAAAUCCAAUUCUAGAACAUAUAAACCAAGUUCUAGAAGUCUACCAUUAGAGAGCAUAAGGCUUACCUCUCUAAGCUUGCUCCUAUGGCUCAAGGAAGGAGAUGAAGAUGAAGCUCCAUCUUCUUGGCCUCUUCUCCUUCAUCUUCUUCUUUUUCUUCUCUUUCUUUCUCUUCUUCUCCUUCUUUUCUUUCUAGAGAGAGAGAGGGAGAGGUUUUGGUGUGGGAGAGUGAGAGAAAUGAGAGAAAGAGAGAAAGGGUCCUUUCUAUACACUCUCAUAAGUGCCAUUUUGCACUUAAGCCCCUCCACAAUGCUUCCCUCGCAACAGCCCAAACUGGACAUUUUCGGGCUUCGGGGACCGGUCCUUGCGAUGAGAGACCGGUCCUUGGCUGAGAGACCGGUCCCCGAAGGUCCAGAAAUCAGCCUUCACGGACUUAGCCAAAUUUUCAGCUUUUUCACCGUUUUAGCUCCGUUUUCGCUCGUUUUUGCUUGUUUGACCUCUGAUUCAUUUCAAAUCGAACCGAGACUCUCCAAACAUGUUUUCAAGCAUGUUUCAUCAUCUUUUCAUCCACGCUAAUGCCGGAUUUAACUCACGGUCCAACAUAGCCUUUCGGCUCCAUUUUCGCGCCCUAUGCGCACCGAACCACCCGAAUGCUCCCGAACUUCGCCGGGACGAUUCCAAUGGCUUUCUAAGCUAACUUACAUCGUAACUUCGUGAAUUUAGAAGUUCGGUAUAUUACAACAUCUAUCAUCUAUAACAAAAGUAAAUAAAGCGUAACUAAACAAUAAAGGUAAAACAUAGAGUUAUACAAAUAAUCCUCUCCAAAAAGGGUACAAAAAGGGUGAUCUCUAAACAUGGGUACAACUCUCAACCUCUCCAAAAGAAAACUACGCGAGGUAGACCACCUAUCGACGCGUCUCUCAAAGCAAGCUAGCUCGAGGCAAUUCCCUUUCCGCGGUCCCUAGCCUCUCCCGGCGUGGAAAGUUCUGAAAUAAAAAUAUAAAAUAGAAGGCGCGAGAACUAUAAUUUAUAGUUCCGAAUGGGCAAUUACUGACCUCAGCUCAAUGCACGACUAGGCCCCAAAAGAAAAGGGUAAGUCCAAAAAGCAACAAUAAUAAUAAAUAGAUUGCAUUUAUGAAAGUAUAAAUAAAAUGCUAAGUUAUUAUGUCGCAAAUAAACAUGAUGUCAAUGUGUUAUACAUUUACUUUAUCAAAAUGAAGUAUGUUCAAGCAUGACUAAUAUGUCCCAACAGAACGAGUAAGUAGGUAUCAUGAUCCAAUAUAUCAAUAUAUGAUGAAUAUGCUCUAUCAUGGCAGCCAAGUAUACUAUGAUGCAACAAAUAAGACUAUCAUGUAUACUACAUGUCCCAACACUAUGCUAUAAGUAUGUCAAAGUAAUCAAACUACUAAGCCUAUCUAGUAGUGAUUGUCAUUUUCCGAUUCAAUGUCAUUGUUUAAUCAUGUUCUAGGACCUACAUAAAUGUAGUCCAGCUUGUGCCACCUAAGUGUCGGUGGUAGCUCCAGCAUUUCCACUCUAGGAAUGAGUCUAUCUCUCCUGACCCCGUAGGUUUCUCGAUACCGCACGAGCCAGCAUAAGUCGCGUAGGCCAACUCCGGAGCGCCGGCUUGUAGGGAGCGACCCUCACAAGCGUGUGCGAAUGAGCACAAAUGGCAAGCAAGCGUAAUCAAUGUCUCAAGGUGAUAUUCCAACACUCACUAUGCUUAGUGCCUCUUUAUGACACUUAAGCUUGUUAUAAGUUAAACACAUUUUAUAUUCUACAUUCCAUUCAUGACAUUAGUACUAGGUUCUCAUUUAACCCGAGCUCAAUGCCUCUUUAUGACAUUAGCCCAAUCAUUCUCAAGUAGUACAAGUCCUCAAGCCUUUUAAGGCUUACUAAAGUCCCUUAUGUCUCAAUUAGGUAUAGGUUUAAAUGCAUGAAGCAAUGCUCAAUUUCAUUGUGAGAAACAUGGUCCCGAGCCCAACAUAGGAAUGCCCAAUGCUAGUGCAAGCUUCACAUGCAACUCUCUCUCUCUACUAUAUAGAGGUCCGAAAAUUCAUUAUACAUGACAUAGGGAUGUUAAGCAUUCUAAAAUUCACAAUAAAUAUAAUUAACAUGAAAAUGCAUGAAUUUUCACUUUACGAAACAUAAAUCACCAAAUAUGAGAAUUUCUCAUAUUGUAUGUAACAUACCACAUCCCUCGUAAAUCGUACCGAGUUCCGUCGAAAUGAGCGGAACGCGGAGUGGAACGAGUGGGUAUAGGCCCUAAGUGCAUUGGAGCCUAUUUAUGGUGCAUAGGGACCCGAGAGAGUGAGAUUUCAAAAUCUGGCUAAGUCCUAGAUUUUGUGCUCUCGAGGACCGGUCCCUGAAGGAGAGACCGGUCCCCGUACGCGUAGCCUGCCAGGAUCCUGAAGCAUCCGGUCCAUGGCAGUGAGACCGGUCCUCGGGAGACCGGUCCAUGAGGGAAAGACCGGUCCCUCAUUGCGCAGCAGCUGAAAAAGCCAGAAAAUCGGCUAAGUCCUGAAAACCCAACGUUUGGGAACCUAUCCAUGGUCAGGGAGACCGGUCCCCGAUUGCGAAAAUUGCCCAAUCUGGGCAGUGCACUGUGAAACAAGUGGAGGGGCUUAAGUGCAAUUGUUACAACACUUUAUAUUGCCAUCCCCUUCACUCCCACAGCCAUUUUUCUCCUCCCCUCUCAUUUUCUCUCUUUCUCAUUCUAGAACCCUAGCUCUAGGGCUUGGAGAAGAAGAAGAAGAAGAAGCAAGGAGAAGGUGGAUUUGGAGGCUUUGGUGGGUUCUACAAACUCUCCUACAAGAAGGACUUGGAGGAGCUUGGGCUAAGGUGAGUUUUUGAUGAAAAUGGGUCUAGGAUUUGGUUUUGAUCCCUAAGAUUUGGAGUUUUGAGUUGUUUUUAGCCUUGGAGACCUUUUAGAGGCCAUGAACUUCAUAGAACCCAUGAGAGCUCAAGUGCUCUCAUGGUGGAUAGUUAGGGUUCACCAUAGAAGCCCUAGGGUUGGUUCCAAAGGUCUAGAAACCUUACUAGGAUGCUUUCUAGGUGAUUCUAAGCUACUAUUUGCUUAGGGUUGAGAUCAAUCUAGGAGAAGUGCCAAAAUGGCAUUGUUAGGGCUUGAAAAUUGGGGUUUUUGCCCUAGGAUUUUUCGGGGACAAAUUGACCUCGUAGAAACCUAAUUGGGGGUCAAAUAUACACAUUAGACAACUCUGUUCAACGUUACGAAGAUGUUCAAGUAUAGUUCAUGUAUAAACAGCCUAAUAGGGCACUAAUUUGAUUAUAGGACGCGGAGCAGGCGUUCGUAGCGAUCGGGAGUCUUCAUAUUCCUCUCCUGCACGACCAUUAAAGGUGGGGGGUGCACGCCAGAAUCGUUGGAUUCCCUUCUAUGUCUAUUUCUCUAUUCUUGAACGUAUGGUUGUUUAUUCCGUCAUGCAUGUUAGGGUUAACCCACAUAUGAACUUUGGUUGUUUUCAUUAUGUUUAUUUCAAGGGUAUUUGAAAAUAGAGAGAAAUGGAACCAUGAUGGACAUGUGUUAUUGAACCCUAGGAAUUGCAUGAUAGUGGGACAUGGACUUAGCAUAAGUAAACAAAUGGUGACAAUGACAAUAGAGAGAUAGAUUGGCUUGAACAAGUGGAUGUUAAACCUAGAUUUCACCAUAGUGGCAUUAUGACGAGAUCGACUAGAAAAUGAUAUGAAAACAUAGGUAGAAAACCUAUCACAAAAGUGGCAACGUGACAUGUGGCUUAAUAUCCUCAACUUGGGGAUUUGAUCGACACUCAUAAUAAGUCUUGGCUUGAGGGAGGUCGCUCCUCCUCAAGCGGUGUGUUUCCGGAAAUCGUCACCACAGGGAGCGCGGUGUGUGAAGACGGUCCCUCGGGUUGGUAGUGCUUGGAGCCUCCCCGGUAAAGAAAUGGAUUUUGGGUUAUGAGUUAUUGGAGUUAACAAGGUUAACCGGUAAGAUUGGGUAUGAGCCAGAGCCUAUUCAUAAUUUGAGCAUGCAUGCAUUUUCAUUAUUGCAUUGAGUAUAUGUAUCCACUGAUAUUCUUCUGCAGGCAUAAUAUUAGAUGCAUUAGUACUGGUUGCUUUUCUGUCCUUGAAAUACUUAUGCCUGGAUAGACCUAGUGGGUAAGUCGGCGAGGUCGGAUGCCGAACCCAUUGGGAAAUUCGUUGUAGUUCUCACACCACCAACCCUACAGGUCCUAGCACGAGCGUGGCGGCGGAGGACCGAGGCAAGGGUAUAGCGCCGUAGAUAGCGGCCACCGGGACUUUUUAUAUUUUGUAGUCAUUCCCCUUUUUGGGUAUACAUGUAUCAACUUCUUUUGUUGAAUUAGAAUUGCAAAAUUGUAAACAAUCAUGUAUUUGGCGGAUGACUAAAUGUAAAAAAGAUAUGAUGGGUGAAUGGAAAUGUAAUAGUUUUAUUUACUUGUAUUUGGUUUAAAUUUAAUCAAAUAUCAUGUAUGCUGUAUAAUUAGCUUAGAGCUUUCGCUUCCGUUGUUGCUUGCCCUCGUGCAAGCCUUAUAUUAUAUAUGCAAAUCCCUUAUUGAUUGCUUAUUUAUACAUGUUGUUAGAGCCUUGGGCGGAUAGAGGAGGCUCUGUCCGUUCGGCGUCUGUUCGUUCGGCGUCUGUUGACGCAACCCGAACCCGACCAAAUUGGCGGGGAUUGGGGCGUGACAGAUAUAAUGGUAUCAGAGCGAAGUGGAAAGCAAAAGUCUAGAAAUGACCUAGAAACCAUAGGUUGGAGACCAUAGGGACUUAGAAAAACGUUUAACGAGGACUUGGUUUGUGCGAAAGCGAGUGAUUGGGUUAAUAGUAACACUUCUCUAGAAGGAGGUAGAGAUGGACUAGAAGGCUUAAUUGUUGUCUACUUAAGGGACUUUGUGGGGCGGCCGACCACAUGACACCAAGAGUGGAAACGAUUAUGCAUGUUGCUUUCGCUUAAUUGGGUAGUUAUUUGGAACGUGUAAGAGUCACGUGUUUCGAGUACUAAUGUGUGUGUGCAUUGCGUUUCAGGACGCGAUGGCACCACCAAGGAGAGUUACGAGGUCCACACCGGCGGAGCCUCGAGAGUAGCCCAGGCAGUCGGGGUCGGACGAAGUGCACGAGUUGCAAGCCCAGGUAGCGGCUCUGGCCGGGGCUAUGCGACAACAAGGGGAGCAGAUUGGACAGCUCCAUAAGAUGAUGGAGCAACAGGCAGCGGCGGCAUCAGUGCCGAGGGAUCUACCCCCACUGGCUGCUCCUGUAGCACCACCUCCUGCGGCGGCAGCAGCACCAGUGACGAUGGUUCCUCCGACGGCAUCGGGUUCAUCGGCUCCUAUUCCCGAUGUACUUGAGGUCGAGCAGGAGCGCACGUUGGCGGCGCUGACGACAUUCAAGCGAUUCAACCCUCCGACCUUCAGCGGUGAUGUGAAGGACCCAUGGACGACGGAGAGUUGGCUAGUCGCGAUGGAGGCCUUGUUCGAGGAUAUCUACACCCUCGAGAAAGAUAAGGUUCACCUUGCGGCUCAUUGUUUUGAUGGGUCGGCUCGGCUGUGGUGGACCCAGGCAAAGAGAAAUCGCUCGCUAGAGCACGCUUUUAUUACUUGGGAGGCAUUUUGGGAGAUGCUGCUUAUGGAGUAUUUCCCCGAGAGCGACAAAAGGAAAAUCAAGGAGGAUUUUCGAAAGCUAAGGCAGGGAAGCCGAUCAGUGUGGGAGUACUAGAGAGAAUUCACGCACAUGAUUAACUGCGUGCCUGACUUGGUUCACGGUGAUAGGGACCGAGCGAAAAUAUUCGAGCACGGGUUGCGACCCGAGAUUUUCAAGGUCAUACAUGCCUUCCGGUUGAAGACCUACGAGGAAGUGCUCGAUCGCGCGCUUUGGGUGGAGCGCGGGAAUGCCAUCGUGCGUGAUAUGCGCGAGACUUUUGAGAGGGACAGGGAAAGAGAUAAGACCAAGAAGCGACCGGCUGGUGGAUCUGUGGGGCAAUCGAGUUCUAAGCGACCCCCGCGACCUCCGCGAUCACAGUGGCGGGGAGGUAGGAGUCAGACCCAGAGCCGUAUCACCUAUCCAUGUGUGAUCUGCGGUGCAGACCACCGGGUUACCACUUGCCCACAGCGAGAGUGGCGGUGUUUUCGGUGUGGCCAGGCGGGCCACAUAGGUCGAGAGUGCCCAGGCGGUGCGUCCCCAGCCUCGUCAUCAGCUUCAGUUCAGUAUACUCAGCGACAGCUGGCGGGACUUCCACCCGCGACAUCUGCUGGACGGUCGUCGGCGCCUCGUCUGCUGGAGGCCUCUCGAGCACAUAGUGGGCGGGUAUUUGCCACUCAGGUGGAGGAGCCACCAAUCAUUGUUCCUGACGACGUCGUGGCAGGUAUUAUUCUGAUCAGAGGCAGUAGAGCUAGAGCUAUAUUUGAUACGGGUGCAUCUCAUUCAUUCAUAUUAGCAUCAUUUGCACAAGCUCAUAAGAUAGAGAUCACUCAUAGCGAAGAGUAUUUAUCGGUGAACACUCCCGAGCAUUCAUUCGAUGUUCACGAUGAGUGCUUGGACUGCCUAGUACAGAUAGGUGAUUGGAUUAUGCCGAUUGACCUUCUAGUGUUAAAAGAAAUGUGGGGUUUAGAGGUAAUCUUGGGGAUCAACUGGCUCUCCAAGUAUUACGCGGUUAUAGAUUGCGAAAGAAGGGUGAUCACGCUCCGUAAACCUAACCAAGAGGAGUUUGUGUAUCGGGCGUACAAAGGUAAAUGCUUUGCAGCAACCAUAUCGACGGUGAGGGAAAGAGAAUGAUCAAGGGUGGUUGCAAGGCUUAUUUGGCGACCAUCGUAGACCCUCAAAGGGAAUACCCGGAACUGGAAAGUAUUCGAGUGGUGCGUGUGUCACGCCCCGAGCCCGCCUCUUUGGUCGGAUUCGGGCACGCCAACAGACCGCCGAACGGACAGGGUUUCCCCUGCACGCGGACAGAGUAUCCCCUGUACGUUCAAGGCGUCGCAAUCAAUACAAGUACAAGAGGUUCCAAACAGGAACAAUUUUUCAACAACGAUUGCAUGAGGAAGGUAUCAAACAACAUAACACAUCCUAUGUUAUUACAAUCAUUCAUCUCAUCAUUUUACAUCACAUUUUUCAUUACAUUGAUCCUCAACUUCCAAAUAUACAAUCGAUUCUUUUCUUUUCUUUUCUUAUACCCCUAAGAAGCCAACUCAGGGUGCUGCUAUCUGGUCUCUGUGGUAGGGCGCUAACUAUGGAGCUACGCCCUUUCCUCGCGCCGCCGCGCCACUCGCGUGUGAACCUGUACCCCCAAAAACAACAACACGGGGGUGAGACUAUUGUCCAUAGUCGUCAGUGGGUACAGCCACCCAAGUGAAAAGCUCAACCCACCAGGUCCAAAGGAGGCACUGCAACACGUUAGUCCAACAGAUAUAUACAUAUAACAUCAUGCAAUACAUGUUCAUGCCUCACAAAUAUGCAAAUUAUGCAACUCUUAGUCAUUCUUUACCAUUAGCCUUUCUUUAGAAUAUGCAAUUCUUUAUCAUUAGCCAUUCUUUAUUCUUUAUUCUUUAUUCUUUAUUCUUUAUUCUUUGCUAAGGGCACUCGCACCUUAGGCGCAUUAUACACAUUUGCCAUUCUUUAUAACAUUAACAAACGUUUCUCAAUUGUCAUUCUUUCUCAA